RNAcentral lists this non-coding RNA (226 nucleotides) under Tepidanaerobacter acetatoxydans. Its description in RNAcentral is "T-box sequence". It matches the Rfam family "T-box leader". Rfam says of the family: Uncharged tRNA acts as the effector for transcription antitermination of genes in the T-box leader family. T-boxes are found upstream of many aminoacyl-tRNA synthetase genes and some amino acid biosynthetic genes usually in Gram-positive bacteria. The record is from RNAcentral. RNAcentral also lists the same sequence under 1 other name. Lineage: Bacteria; Bacillati; Bacillota; Clostridia; Thermosediminibacterales; Tepidanaerobacteraceae.
UGAAAUGCUAUGAAGGAGAGAGUAAGUGCGAGGAUCCUUUUAGGGAGCGAAGGUCAAAGACUGUAAGCCUUUGCAGGGAGAAUCCGCCGAAGUUCGCUCUGAAGCAGGGAGAUCGAAGCCUAAUAGGUAGUAAAUCUCCCCGGUUUUCGCCGUUACGGAAUUUGUGAGAGUUUGUAUUUCAAACUAAAAAAGGGUGGUACCACGGAAGGAAACUUUCGUCCCUAGC